CGACACGCAGCGGGAGAACCUCCGAACCGGAGGCGCCGAAGGAGCAACAUCCUCCCCGGGAAUCUCUCAGGCCCAGUACCGCAGCGAGGAG
RNAcentral lists this non-coding RNA (91 nucleotides) under Mycobacterium sp. RNAcentral's name for it is "Glycine sequence". It matches the Rfam family "Glycine riboswitch aptamer". Rfam says of the family: This family represents the bacterial glycine riboswitch. Glycine riboswitches usually consist of two metabolite-binding aptamers domains with similar structures in tandem. Lineage: Bacteria; Bacillati; Actinomycetota; Actinomycetes; Mycobacteriales; Mycobacteriaceae. The record is from RNAcentral.